AGCUGCUCUGGUUUGGAAUGGCUAGGAGGGAAAGGAGAUAAGAGUUUAGCUCCUAAAAAGGGUUUCCAAGAACUGUACAGGACUAAUGGACAAGGAUGCACGGGGAUAACUGGCCGCCUUGAGCAUUCCUAAAGCAAUGGGUGAAAGUCAAUAUUCCAGCACAAAUGGAGAUUCAUACGAUUGUUUGAUUGCUCCAAGCAAAGUUCCUUCGGAGGAAACAUCAGAAAUAACUGCAGUUGAGAAUUUAUUCCUACCCUCUCCCAUCAAGUGUGCUGUCUUGAGAUAUGCUGAUGCUGACAUACCUGGCUAUGCAGAUACUUCUGGUCCAGUGGUUUGCUUACACAGUACUUGUAAUCUACUGAAAGCCUCAUCCUCUUUCCAGUAAUGACUUUAAAUGCGGUAAAAACCUGGAGGCAAAAGAUGGAGAAAUGUUUCCAUAAUUCAGA
Long non-coding RNA from Mauremys reevesii (Reeves's turtle), 446 nucleotides. RefSeq lists it as uncharacterized. The record is from RefSeq and is a predicted model, not a curated record. The transcript has 3 exons. Lineage: Eukaryota; Metazoa; Chordata; Testudines; Geoemydidae.